AGUUUGAUCCUGGCUCAGGAUAAACGCUGGCGGCGUGCCUAAUACAUGCAAGUCGAGCGAACGGACGAGAAGCUUGCUUCUCUGAUGUUAGCGGCGGACGGGUGAGUAACACGUGGAUAACCUACCUAUAAGACUGGGAUAACUUCGGGAAACCGGAGCUAAUACCGGAUAAUAUUUUGAACCGCAUGGUUCAAAAGUGAAAGACGGUCUUGCUGUCACUUAUAGAUGGAUCCGCGCUGCAUUAGCUAGUUGGUAAGGUAACGGCUUACCAAGGCAACGAUGCAUAGCCGACCUGAGAGGGUGAUCGGCCACACUGGAACUGAGACACGGUCCAGACUCCUACGGGAGGCAGCAGUAGGGAAUCUUCCGCAAUGGGCGAAAGCCUGACGGAGCAACGCCGCGUGAGUGAUGAAGGUCUUCGGAUCGUAAAACUCUGUUAUUAGGGAAGAACAUAUGUGUAAGUAACUGUGCACAUCUUGACGGUACCUAAUCAGAAAGCCACGGCUAACUACGUGCCAGCAGCCGCGGUAAUACGUAGGUGGCAAGCGUUAUCCGGAAUUAUUGGGCGUAAAGCGCGCGUAGGCGGUUUUUUAAGUCUGAUGUGAAAGCCCACGGCUCAACCGUGGAGGGUCAUUGGAAACUGGAAAACUUGAGUGCAGAAGAGGAAAGUGGAAUUCCAUGUGUAGCGGUGAAAUGCGCAGAGAUAUGGAGGAACACCAGUGGCGAAGGCGACUUUCUGGUCUGUAACUGACGCUGAUGUGCGAAAGCGUGGGGAUCAAACAGGAUUAGAUACCCUGGUAGUCCACGCCGUAAACGAUGAGUGCUAAGUGUUAGGGGGUUUCCGCCCCUUAGUGCUGCAGCUAACGCAUUAAGCACUCCGCCUGGGGAGUACGACCGCAAGGUUGAAACUCAAAGGAAUUGACGGGGACCCGCACAAGCGGUGGAGCAUGUGGUUUAAUUCGAAGCAACGCGAAGAACCUUACCAAAUCUUGACAUCCUUUGACAACUCUAGAGAUAGAGCCUUCCCCUUCGGGGGACAAAGUGACAGGUGGUGCAUGGUUGUCGUCAGCUCGUGUCGUGAGAUGUUGGGUUAAGUCCCGCAACGAGCGCAACCCUUAAGCUUAGUUGCCAUCAUUAAGUUGGGCACUCUAAGUUGACUGCCGGUGACAAACCGGAGGAAGGUGGGGAUGACGUCAAAUCAUCAUGCCCCUUAUGAUUUGGGCUACACACGUGCUACAAUGGACAAUACAAAGGGCAGCGAAACCGCGAGGUCAAGCAAAUCCCAUAAAGUUGUUCUCAGUUCGGAUUGUAGUCUGCAACUCGACUACAUGAAGCUGGAAUCGCUAGUAGUCGUAGAUCAGCAUGCUACGGUGAAUACGUUCCCGGGUCUUGUACACACCGCCCGUCACACCACGAGAGUUUGUAACACCCGAAGCCGGUGGAGUAACCUUUUAGGAGCUAGCCGUCGAAGGUGGGACAAAUGAUUGGGGUGA
RNAcentral lists this ribosomal RNA (1493 nucleotides) under uncultured bacterium. Its description in RNAcentral is "16S ribosomal RNA". It matches the Rfam family "Bacterial small subunit ribosomal RNA". The record is from RNAcentral.